RNAcentral lists this non-coding RNA (112 nucleotides) under Hymenobacter daecheongensis. Its description in RNAcentral is "TPP sequence". It matches the Rfam family "TPP riboswitch aptamer (THI element)". Rfam says of the family: Vitamin B(1) in its active form thiamin pyrophosphate (TPP) is an essential coenzyme that is synthesised by coupling of pyrimidine and thiazole moieties in bacteria. Lineage: Bacteria; Pseudomonadati; Bacteroidota; Cytophagia; Cytophagales; Hymenobacteraceae. The record is from RNAcentral. RNAcentral also lists the same sequence under 1 other name.
CGCAUAGUUUAGGGGUGCCCCACCAUCGGCCACGAUGCCGUGGGGCUGAGAUCAUACCCAUUGAACCUGAUCCGGGUAAUGCCGGCGAAGGGAACAAACGAUCCGCGAACGU